Pelobates cultripes (western spadefoot toad) is the source of this 209-nucleotide non-coding RNA. Lineage: Eukaryota; Metazoa; Chordata; Amphibia; Anura; Pelobatidae. The record is from the annotation of a GenBank genome assembly.
GUGGAGGAAUGUGGUGCAGAUAAAGCAAUUAUCAGUCUGGGUUUGAGUGAAGUCUUCCCUGUGACCACCCCUAUGGGAUUGGUUCUCCAAGAUGUGAAGGGUGGGGAAAAGAAUGGCCCCAACAGAAACCCUUGUUUCACCUCGGUCGUGAUAAGAGUGUUUACCAACUGUGGAUCGUCUAACGUGGAUUGUAGGUUGUCGCAUUCCAG